CUGUCAGAAACAGCUGUCCAUUAACGGAGUUUGUGGAAACAACCAGGAGCUGUUUGAAAAUGCUAGGUGGUAGAAUUUAAUUGGAGUAGCAACUGUUCAAAAUUAAGAUUAAAAGGACCAGUCAGUCAACGUGGAUUUCGUGACACCUUAAAAAUAACGUUUCAGGUUUGAUUAAUGCUGCAAGAAGUUUGCACAUUUCUCUCCUUUGCUGAUAGGGCCUGCGUGCUGAUAGUUGAUUCAGUGAAUAUAUGUAGCAGUGAUAGCUCAUGGGCUCCAGAGGUCAGAUAUCUUAUUCUCUAGGCUGAAACCCUUGUUGCUUUAAGGAAACAGGAUUUUAAUAGGAAUCACAUGCAGAUUGACUACAGGGAGCCAAGCGGUAGUGGAAGAAGCAAAGUUGGCGGUUUUGGAGACGGACGUCUAUCUAUCCACAGUGGGACAAAAAUGAAGGUUAUUGAAAAGAAUCAUGCUUGGUGGAAGAAGUAAUUACAUUUUUUUUUCAAAUCUCAGAGGAAUAAUGCUUUUAUAUUUCCUGCGAUGACCCAAUUUGCACUACGAUAUGCUCCCUUAAAUGUGAUUUAAACAGAAGAGAGGACCACCCCGCCAACCAAAUGUCCAGGUCCUAUUCCAUGGAACCUAUGAACAGGUUGUCCCACAUUGCAAAAGGGACUUCACAGAUGUCGAGCUAGAGAAGAUGCGAUAAUGGAAGCGGAAUCAAAGACAGAUUUGAAGAUGCUGCUGUCUUUGGAGAGAAUGGCCAGGAGGCAAGGAACACAAGCAGCCCCUAGAAGUUGGAAAAGGUUUCAAAAGGACUGGUUGAAAACUAAGAUCUUAAAUCAAUUCAUCGUGUUGGGAAUGGAGCAGGAUAGAGAUCGUUCCUGAAGGCCAUAUUCUAAACUUUGUCUGGUACCAAAACAGAGAUAUAGAUCAAUGGAAGAGAACAGAGGCCUCAGAAAUAGCGCUGCGUAUCUAAAACUAUCUGAUCUUUUGACAAACCCGACAAAAACAAGCAAUGGGGAAAGGAUUCCCUAUUUAAUAAAUGGUGCUGGGAAAACUGGCUAGCCGUAUGUAGAAAGCUGAAACUGGAUCCCUUCCUUACGCCUUGUACAAAAAUUAAUUCAAGAUGGAUUAAAGACUUAAACGUUAGACCUAAAACCAUAAAAACCCUAGAAGAAAA
This 1174-nucleotide long non-coding RNA is filed under the name Homo sapiens (human). Its description in RNAcentral is "long intergenic non-protein coding RNA 923". The record is from RNAcentral. Lineage: Eukaryota; Metazoa; Chordata; Mammalia; Primates; Hominidae.